This 274-nucleotide ribosomal RNA is filed under the name uncultured bacterium. RNAcentral's name for it is "partial 16S ribosomal RNA". It matches the Rfam family "Bacterial small subunit ribosomal RNA", at positions 523 to 796 of the family's 1533-position model. The record is from RNAcentral.
AUACGGAGGGUGCAAGCGUUACUCGGAAUCACUGGGCGUAAAGCGCGCGCAGGCGGUCUUUUAAGUUGGAUGUGAAAGCCUACGGCUCAACCGUAGAACUGCAUCCAAAACUAUUAGACUAGAGUGUGGGAGAGGAAGAUGGAAUUAGCUGUGUAGGGGUAAAAUCCGUAGAGAUAACUAGGAAUACCAAAAGCGAAGGCAAUCUUCUGGAACACUACUGACGCUGAGGCGCGAAAGCGUGGGGAGCAAACAGGAUUAGAAACCCUAGUAGUCC